CACGUCGGUGCGCCUCUACGAUGUGCCGGCCAACUCCAUGCGCCUCAAGUACCAGCACACCGGCGCCGUCCUGGACUGCGCCUUCUAUGAUCCAACACAUGCUUGGAGUGGGGGAUUAGACCAUCAAUUGAAAAUGCAUGAUUUGAACACUGAUCAAGAAAAUCUCGUUGGAACCCAUGAUGCCCCUAUCAGAUGUGUUGAAUACUGCCCUGAAGUGAAUGUGAUGGUGACAGGGAGUUGGGACC
Molecule: non-coding RNA, 245 nt
Organism: Leptonychotes weddellii (Weddell seal)
Lineage: Eukaryota; Metazoa; Chordata; Mammalia; Carnivora; Phocidae
Source: RefSeq, a predicted model, not a curated record